This 253-nucleotide ribosomal RNA is filed under the name uncultured bacterium. RNAcentral's name for it is "partial 16S ribosomal RNA". It matches the Rfam family "Bacterial small subunit ribosomal RNA", at positions 524 to 776 of the family's 1533-position model. The record is from RNAcentral.
UACGUAGGGGGCAAGCGUUGUCCGGAUUUAUUGGGCGUAAAGAGCGUGUAGGCGGCCAGGUAGGUCUGCUGUGAAAACUCGAGGCUCAACCUCGAGAUGUCGGCGGAAACCAUCUGGCUAGAGUCCGGAAGAGGAGAGUGGAAUUCCUGGUGUAGCGGUGAAAUGCGCAGAUAUCAGGAAGAACACCCGUGGCGAAGGCGGCUCUCUGGGACGGUACUGACGCUGAGACGCGAAAGCGUGGGGAGCGAACAGG